This 403-nucleotide ribosomal RNA is filed under the name bacterium. RNAcentral's name for it is "partial 16S ribosomal RNA". It matches the Rfam family "Bacterial small subunit ribosomal RNA", at positions 355 to 776 of the family's 1533-position model. The record is from RNAcentral.
UGGGGAAUAUUGCACAAUGGAGGGAACUCUGAUGCAGCGACGCCGCGUGAACGAAGAAGGCUUUCGAGUCGUAAAGUUCUUUUAUAUGGGAAGAUAAUGACGGUACCAUAAGUAAAAGCCCCGGCUAACUACGUGCCAGCAGCCGCGGUAAUACGUAGGGGGCUAGCGUUGUCCGGAAUCACUGGGCGUAAAGGGUUCGCAGGCGGAAAUGCAAGUCAGGUGUAAAAGGCAGUAGCUUAACUACUGUAAGCAUUUGAAACUGCAUAUCGUGAGAAGAGUAGAGGUAAGUGGAAUUUUUAGUGUAGCGGUGAAAUGCGUAGAUAUUAAAAAGAAUACCGGUGGCGAAGGCGGCUUACUGGGCUCAUUCUGACGCUGAGGAACGAAAGCGUGGGUAGCAAACAGG